RNAcentral lists this long non-coding RNA (561 nucleotides) under Vulpes vulpes (red fox). RNAcentral's name for it is "lncRNA (ENSVVUG00000012869.1)". Lineage: Eukaryota; Metazoa; Chordata; Mammalia; Carnivora; Canidae. The record is from RNAcentral.
GAAACAGCCAUUUCACAAAACACCAAAGCUGAAUUUCUUCACUAGGAAUUCCAAGAAAUGUUAAAGGAUGUUCUUAAGCCUGAAGGAGAAAGAUACCAACCACUCUGAAACUCAAAUCUUUGGCCUCCUCCAUCCUUUCUCAGGAUCACUUCAUUUACCUUUUUAUCAAUAACUCUGAAAAGACACUAGACGCAUUUUACUCUCCACUAUGGUACUCAUGCUUGUUAUACUCUCCGUGGAAUCCCCAUUAGCAGGCAUUGUUGAGAAGCUCUCUGCCUGAAUGAUGGGGUUGAAGCUCUAGCCUGGGAGAGAGAAUGGUUUGUGGCUGGUGUCUCCUCUAAAUGGCAAGUAGGUGGCUACAGAAAACUAAAAAUAACUAUGGGUCCAACUCAGGAUAAGAGGGACAUUACAACUCAAGGACACUUGUCUGAAAAUAUCUAAGUGAUAAAAUAUAUUUUUAAACGUUGUUUUCUGAAUGAUUAUUGCCACUGAAAAAUAAUAGUAGCAAGCCACAAGAAAAGUUUUAUUUGGCUAAAGUCUCUACCCAAGCCCAGCUCUGAC